UACGUAGGGGGCUAGCGUUGUCCGGAUUUAUUGGGCGUAAAGAGCGUGUAGGCGGCCAGGUAGGUCUGCUGUGAAAACUCGAGGCUCAACCUCGAGACGUCGGCGGAAACCAUCUGGCUAGAGUCCGGAAGAGGAGAGUGGAAUUCCUGGUGUAGCGGUGAAAUGCGCAGAUAUCAGGAGGAACACCGGUGGCGAAGGCGGAUCUCUGGGCCAUUACUGACGCUGAGGAGCGAAAGCGUGGGGAGCGAACAGG
This 253-nucleotide ribosomal RNA is filed under the name uncultured bacterium. RNAcentral's name for it is "partial 16S ribosomal RNA". It matches the Rfam family "Bacterial small subunit ribosomal RNA", at positions 524 to 776 of the family's 1533-position model. The record is from RNAcentral.